GUUCGGUUAAGUCCGCUAACGAGCGCAACCCUCGCUGUAUGUUACAUGUGUCAUACAGGACCGCCGGUAUCAAGCCGGAGGAAGGUGGGGAUGACGUCAAGUCCGCAUGGCCUUUAUGUCCGGGGCUACACACACGCUACAAUGGUCGGUACAAUGGGUUGCUAAGCCGCGAGGUGGAGCCAAUCCCCCAAAGCCGGCCUCAGUUCAGAUUGCAGGCUGCAACUCGCCUGCAUGAAGCUGGAGUUGCUAGUAAACGCGCGUCAGCUAUAGUGCGUUGAAUACGUUCUCGGGCCUU
Molecule: ribosomal RNA, 295 nt
Filed under: uncultured Anaerolineaceae bacterium
Lineage: Bacteria; Bacillati; Chloroflexota; Anaerolineae; Anaerolineales; Anaerolineaceae
Description: partial 16S ribosomal RNA
Rfam family: Bacterial small subunit ribosomal RNA
Source: RNAcentral